This 69-nucleotide transfer RNA is filed under the name Schindleria praematura (Schindler's fish). Its description in RNAcentral is "tRNA-Arg". It matches the Rfam family "tRNA". From Rfam's summary of the family: Transfer RNA (tRNA) molecules are approximately 80 nucleotides in length. Their secondary structure includes four short double-helical elements and three loops (D, anti-codon, and T loops). Further hydrogen bonds mediate the characteristic L-shaped molecular structure. tRNAs have two regions of fundamental functional importance: the anti-codon, which is responsible for specific mRNA codon recognition, and the 3' end, to which the tRNAs corresponding amino acid is attached (by aminoacyl-tRNA synthetases). tRNAs cope with the degeneracy of the genetic code in two manners: having more than one tRNA (with a specific anti-codon) for a particular amino acid; and 'wobble' base-pairing, i.e. permitting non-standard base-pairing at the 3rd anti-codon position. The record is from RNAcentral. Lineage: Eukaryota; Metazoa; Chordata; Actinopteri; Gobiiformes; Schindleriidae.
AGGCGGUUAUUUAAAUUAAAAUAUUUGAUUUCGGCUCAAAAGAUCGCAGUUAAAGUCCGCGACCGCUCA